UGUGUGUGUGUCUGUCUGUCUGUGUGUCUGUGUGUGUGUCUGUCUGUGUCUCUGUCUGUGUGUCUGUGUGUGUGUCUGUCUGUGUCUCUGUCUGUGUGUCUGUGUGUCUCUCAGUGCCUGAAUGGGGUGGUGAAGGAAGCGAAAGCUUUGAGUUCUUCACUUCUGAAGGAGAUCCAGAGGAUGUGUCUCUCUCAGCUUCACACCUUCCUACACGGCCUUCAAGCCUUGGAGAGGAAGCGCAUGAGUGCAGGGCUUGGUGCAGGAGAGGGAGGGAUCCUCCACCUGUUCAGGACCAUCAACACCUGCAGGGAGCUCAGGCUGUUAGCGGGGCAGUUAGCAUCUGAGGCUCAGACUGAUGCUGCUGCUCCUGCCGUGAGCCUCUUGGAGGAACUGGAGGCUCAGGCCAAAGAACAGCUGCUGCACACAACAACACACAACAUAGAGGCAGCUUUGAAGACCUACUUUAAGACUGGGGGUGAUGACAUGUGUGAUGUCACGACCAGGAUUGAACCGCUGUUUGCCCCUUUACCAUUGGUCAAAGAUACACACACUCGGAAGGUCCUGGUUGACUCCGUUUACCAGAAUAUCACUUCCUUGUACCUGCGACACCUGUUGCUAAGCAACCGCAGUCAGCUGGACAAGAGAUGGAGUGAUGUUGGGCUGAGAGUGAGACGGGAUGCAGAGGAGCUACACAAGUCCUUCACACAGCAGGAAGGUAGUGUGGAGAAAAGGUGUGUGUCCUUACAGAAGAUCAGUGAGGUUCUGAAGACCAAUGAUGUGAACACACUAAAACUAGUCCUCAUCGAGAUCAUCAACGAGUGCCCUGGCAUCAGCGGUGAGGAACAGCUGAAUACCCUGCUGAGAUGGAAGGGCCAGUUGUCACGGCAACAGCAGACAGAAGUGAUGGAUGCAGUUGUGGAAUAUUGCCCCCGAUCCGCCCCCAAUGACUCACCUGCACACACUCUGGCUCCGCCUCCGGCUCCGCCUCUCCGUCCCGCCUCCAGGUGGUACCGCGCCAUGUCCUGCCUCAGGCCACCAAUCACAGACUGAGGUCCGCUCAGGCCACCAAUCACAGCCUGAGGUCUAUUCAGCCGACCAAUCACAGCCUGAGGUCUGCUCAGCCGACCAAUCACAGACUGAGGUCUAUUCAGCCGACCAAUCACAGCCUGAGGUCUGCUCAGCCGACCAAUCACAGCCUGAGGUCUAUUCAGCCGACCAAUCACAGCCUGAGGUCUGCUCAGCCGACCAAUCACAGCCUGAGGUCUGCUCAGCCGACCAAUCACAGCCUGGGGUUUGGCAAUGUUUAUGGUAGUGGGGUACUGUUUUCUUUCUGGGGUGCCAACUCAUUAUAAUUCAGUGAUGUGUAUGGGCCAUUCUACCGAAUUGGUGCAAAGUGUGGUCCCACAACAAUAAAAACUAUUUACAAAACAAUUAAGUAUUCAGACAUAGAUAUUUACUAAGAAUAUGUUAUGGUCUAUUUAAACCCAAGACAUUAAUUGAGAUAGGGAUAAGCUAAAUAUAUACAAAAUCAUCAUUUAUAAGGUACUUUCUAUUGGGAAGUAGCUGUCCCCAACCCUGACAUCUAAAUUUCAAUGUCUGUAAAUAACACUUUUUAGAUUUUUUUGAUUUUUUUCAAUGAUGCAAUUUCAAAGAUCUUUACGAUUAAGUUUAAACAGAACUUGGAAGAUUUAGAUUUAUUGUGAGUUUAAUUUAAAAAAAAAUAAACUAUACUCAAAAAAUCAUGUCCAUAGAUUUCAUGUCACUACCGAAACACAGGAGUUUUAGUCCAUUGGCUGAGCCUGUUUUUUAGCCAUACCCCUGAAUUUAUAACCAGGCAGUGAUACUGCAUCCCUGUCCCUCAUGGCUGAAUGGUAAGUAGCUAGAUCCCAUACUUUUGAUAUAAAUGUGUUCCAAAGUCUGAAAAUCAGUGUGUAACCUUAAGAAUUGUCACUACCGAACACAUAUUUUCUUCAAUUAAGUAAACUUUUGUUUUUUUUUUGCAAAGUAUUAUGUUUGUUUGUGAGUACACCUCUUCAAAGAUGUGUUUGUUAGCCAUGUGCUUGCUAGAAUUAUUUAUUUAUGCUCAAAGUUAGCUAGAAUUGUCACUACCGAAACAGUCACUACGGAAACAGUUACUACCAAAACAUAUGGUAAAGUUUCGGUAGUGACAUGAUCGUUUCGGUAGUGACAAAAUGGAAUGGUAAGUAGUUCAAUCCCAUCAUUUUGAAAUAAAUGUGUUAUGUGGACUAAAUGGUAAAGAUGUAGAUAAUGCUGAUUUCUAUCUGAAAUUGUUCAGGAGAGAAAGAAUCAUAAGACACCAAAAUUCCAAAAGGAAAAGGUGGAGCAGAGAGGCUGAGAGAAUGCCGACAAAGAGUGAGGGAUGACCCAGUGAAACACCAAGAAUAUUUAAGGAAGGAAAGAGAAAGAAAUAAGAAACGAAAGGAAGAAGGAAAGUUGAAAUGUAUCAGUGAUUUAUCCAACAGGGAGCAAAGGAAGGUCAGAAAAUCAUGGAGGAAAAGAAAGCAAAAGCACAAAACAUUUGUGUUUUUACUAUUCCCAACCUAAAGCAUGUUAUGAGUCAAGAUUAAGCAAUAAGGUUGAGGAAAUAUUAUACAACCUUGCAAACAAAAUACUGUGGCCACUACCGAAACAGUGCUGUCACUACCGAAACACUCGAUGUUUUGUAAAAAAUAAAGUAUAUUGAGUUAUCAACUAAAAUGUUAUGAUACUGAUUUGGUUUAAUGUAUGUUCAAUCUCAUCAAUCAUCAACUCUGGAAUUAAUAUGAUCAGUAUUUUGCAUUUUACAAAGAAAUAUUGCACUUAGAUUUGGAUGAAGUGUAUAAAUUGAACUUUGACAUUUGGUAAAACUUUCUUUUUUUAAUGAUUUCAUUGUGAAAACCUUCAAGAAAUAUUUGUAAAAAUACUCGUCAGAAAAGGGAAGGAAACACAAUCUGAACAGGUUAAUAAUAAUACGUUUUUCCUAUAGUUUAUUACCAUGUUUCGGUAGUGACAAUUUUGGGGAGAGGAAAAACAUUCCAACACAUUCUGAAAAUACAAUAUAAAAAUGUACGGUUCAUUGGGAAUAAAACAUACACAUUUUCAAAAUAUUUCCAACCUGACCCGUAUACAAAUGUCAUUCUACAGAUUACGUGUGUGUGUGUGUGCGUGUGUGUGUGUGUGUGUGUGAGACUAUGUGUUGGGGGAUGUAAUGUAUACAUUUUAUUUUCUAUAUUGAGUAGCUACUGUUUUGUCUCCUUCUAUGCUUAUGCAAGUAAUUGAUUAUAUAGGGAACAAUUAGAGAAAAACCCACUGGAAUCUCUACAUUUAUGUUUCAUGUAAAUUUACGUUGCAAUAAAUAAGUUCAGAAACACAACGGGA
Clupea harengus (Atlantic herring) is the source of this 3378-nucleotide long non-coding RNA. NCBI's taxonomy places the organism in Eukaryota, Metazoa, Chordata, Actinopteri, Clupeiformes, Clupeidae. The record is from Ensembl.